AGAGGGAAAAUCACUUUCAUCUGGAGAAGCUCGUCCGUUAACACGGGGCGGCCCAUCUGCAGGUCCCCGCUGUUCCUAAAAGAAAGAUUAAGGAUUUGAGUUGGCCUGACGGAGAGAUCUUCCAGGCGGCUCCGGCCCAUGGAGGAUGCAGAGCAUCACAUCAGAUCAAACAUUGAUAAACCAGUACUUUACCAGCGUUUUAUCAAUAUCUUUAAAGGACGGGGAGUUUUUGCCACUGAAUUCAUAUCCAAAGGAGACUUUGUUGUGGAGUACCGAGGUGAACUGCUUACACAACAGGAGGGCGAGGUCCGAGCUGAUCAGUACAAUGAUUCUGCAAAGGUGUUUCUUUUCGAUUUCCAAUGGAAAGGAAGAAC
Salvelinus namaycush (lake trout) is the source of this 374-nucleotide long non-coding RNA. RefSeq lists it as uncharacterized. The transcript is spliced from 3 exons. NCBI's taxonomy places the organism in Eukaryota, Metazoa, Chordata, Actinopteri, Salmoniformes, Salmonidae. The record is from RefSeq and is a predicted model, not a curated record.